GUUGACUGAUGGUCUUUGACAAAGACAGACUUGUUUUUGUGAGCUCUGAAAAAAAUUUGACUUUGAAAUAUUUUUACGAUUAAAAAGUUUCAGUUGACUUUUGAACGUUAACGAAGACGGACGUACUUUCGUGAGCUCUGACUAUUGAUGAAAAGUUUUGAGUUUUACUGACUUGUACUUUGAGAGUAAAAUUGACUUCGCGUUAUAGAAUAGCGACUUGGUACUCAGGUUGUUGAAUGACUGGAUGACUGUAGUGUUAGGUUAUUGUUAUGAGAUAACAACUUGACUUUGACUUGAGUUGUGAAAUAAAAUCAUACUCUUGAACGUUUAGUAUGGACUGACAACGAACUUUUGUGAGCGUUAUAUAUGAAAUGUUUGACUUACAUUAAUUUUUUUGAACGACUUGACUUCAAUUUAAGUUUUGACAUCGGACUGAUCGGACGUGUUUUUUUAAGCCCUGACUGUUGUGAAUAAUUAAAUUUAUGUUGUGGUGUCAAGCGAUUGACUGUCAGUUGAGGUUCAGAUGUCGAGCUGUGCGGACGUGUUCAUCGAGCUGCUGUCUACAAAAAACGGGGCUGUGGUGAGUAUUGUAGAAUAAAUUUAUUGUAUUAUGGAAUAAAUUAACGAUGCUAAAUGAAAACUGUUAUUGUACACUUUGUAUGGAUAAACGUGUAUGACCACUCUGUCGGUUGGUUUUCAUGAAAGCAUAAAUUAUGUGAAUGAUGAUAUGAAGGGUAGAAUUCAUCAGUGCUUGUGUCUAGAAAUGCUGAAUGUUUAUUGAAAAGGCUAAAUGCUAGCCAGUACUAAGAGUUGAGCUACCGUGGGAAUGUGAAACGAACUGAUGGUGUAAUAUGAUGGUGUAUUGACAUACUUUUCUUAUAUGUACUAAAUAUGAUAUUGCUUUACUUGUAUUUGCAUGCUGUUAACAUUUCUAUUUUGUUCCAGUGUGCUGUGGUGAGUACUGUAGAUAUUACUUGAUUUUUAGUGUCUAUGAAUGCUGAUGUAUGAUAGCUAUAGCAUGAGCUCAAUGCUAACCAGUAUUAUGAGUUGAUGUAUUGUGGUGAUGCUAAUCGAACUGAUGAUGUAACAUGAUGGUGAACACUUACUGAAUGCAUAAAAUUUAUUGAAUUGCGUUUGUUGAUAUGCACUAUAAUAUGAUAAAUGUAUUGCUUAACAUGUAUAUUUCAUGAUGUUUAAUUUCAGUGGGCUGUGGUGAGUACUGUAGAUUGUAUUGCCUAUGUAUAGAAUUCAAUAAAAGAUUAUGACUGAAAACUGCUUUUGAUUCUUUUUGAACAGUUUUAGGGACUAUAAGUCUAUAACAAAAAUAUGUCGGUUGGCGUUCAUACAGCAAUGUUUUGAGUAGUACAGAAAUGUUUCUACGUUUGUGGUCGCCAGUUGUCUGUGAUGUGUAAAGUGAAAAAUACACGGAGCUUUGAAUACAACAAACAUUUACUGUUUUAACACAGAUUGUGUGCUAUGCAUUUUUCGAUGUAGAUCUUUUUCAGAUUUGACAUGAAAUGUAGACCUGACAUUUGAACAGAGCUGGGAAACGAAAAGGUAAGUUUGUUAAAUUUCACAAUGAACACUUGUGUUUUGACAAAAGAAGAGAUAAAGUGAGUUUUGUCAUCAUCAUGGUUUCUUUCAGAGUAUAACUCGUGAACAGAUGAAAACCUAUUUUUUGCUAGAUUUUCAUGUACUCUUUUUUUGGAUGAUAAGUAUGUCAGUAACUCAAAAUCAUACGGCUAGUACAGUAUGGAACAUGAAUGCUUUGUUCAGAUUUUCAGAUGUGUGCUGGCAGUUUAAGUCUGGCAGCUGAAGUGAACAGUCGUGUUUUCUGGAGCUCCAACAAUAUGCUAGAAGGUAAGUAACUAUGUUUGUUUUGCAUUGCAUGUUUUCAUAUGUUUCAGACUUUCAAGCAGAGAUGUCAUGCUGACUGGAGUUGAGCACAGGGCAGUGACAAAGUGAAAGGUAAGUACUUUUGACUGAAUGUUUGUUCUAUGCAUGUUUUGUUUCAAUACAUUUCAGGAGUGCUUAUCCAGUGAUGAUAUGACAGUUGGAGUGAACAGUGGAGCCAAGCAGUCUUGUUUUUGGAGCUACUCAACAAGCCUUGAAGAUGCUGAUGGCAGUGAUGGGUUUUCAAGCUGACCUGAACAGAAAAGCACUCAUAUGGUAAGUACAAAAUAGUUGUUAUAUGGGAUGUUGUGCAUGCUUUUAUGUUUCAGGUGUACUUGCAGUUAGAGACGAAGACGAUUCAAGAAGAGGACCAUAGGUCAGAAAGUGGAUGGAACAUACAAAGGGUAAGUUGAACCUGUGUUUUUGUUUGAUUUUUACCAUGCAUACUUUGCUUUGCUCUGUUUCAGAUUUCACAUGCAGAAAUUAAACAGGAUUUCAACUGCUGAGACACAAUUCAUCAAAAGUAAGGUAAGUUUUAAUUCAUUGAUUUGAGUUGUACAAUGUGUUCUUUACUUUAUUUCAGAUUCGAGUCACUGGUUUACACAUGGAAGAAGAUUUCCACGUCUGUUACUCAACUCUACAGAAGCAAGGUAAGUCGAUCAAAUUUUUGUUUUCAUUGACUGCUGUAAUGUGAUGUUAUGCUAUUUUUCAUGUGUGCUAUGCAGAGAUGGAGAAUUCAAUUUUAAGAAAGAUUAACUGCUGCAGCUUAGCUCUGCUCUGUGUUGAUUUUUGUUCAAAAACGUUUAAAAUGUAUGUGUGUUUUCAGAUGUUUUGUUUCAGUUGAUGUCCAGAUGGCAAGCAGUACAGACGUGUUUCUUGGAGCUGCCAAACAGUGAGUACAAACGUUUUAUAUUUUUCAGUUGUUUACUCAUAGAAGUCUGUGAAAGAUGAUAACAAGGGUUGAAUCUAUCAGCACUUGUGUCUAAAAAUGCUGAUGUGUGACGGUUUACUGAAAAGGGUAAAUGCUAGCCAGUACUUACACUUGAGCAACCGUGGGAUGUCGAACUAACUGAUGAUGUACUAUGAUGGUGAACACUUACUAUGUGUAUCAAAAUGCUUUUGUUGAUAUUUACUAUAGAUGAUUUGAUAUUGGUUAACAUUUGUUUGCAUGCUGUUAACAUUUCUAUUUCAUUUCAGGGAGCUGUGGUAAGUAUUGUAGUAUUAAUUUGUCUCAAUAAACGAUGAUGAAUGAAAACUGAUGUCGAUUCUUUUUGUACAGUUUUAGGUAUUAGCACUCUAUACAAAACUCUGUCGGUCGGUGUUUGUGAAUGUGAGCUUAAUGUUUGAGUAGAACAAAAAUGUCUUUACUUUUGUGAUCGCCAGUUGUCUGUGAUGUAAAGUGGAAAAAACACAGCUAUGAAGCAUACAAUUGUUUCAAUAUUUUAUCAAUGAUAGUGUGCUAUGCAUGUUUUGAUUUAGUUCGUUUCAGAUACGACAUGACAUGAAGAGUUGACAGUCGAACAGAGCUGAGCAAAGCAGAAAGGUAAGUGUGUUUCAUUUUAGUAUGAACACUUGUAUUUUGUUUUUAUAUGGUAUGUUUUGUGCAUGCUAUGUUUCAGGUGUACUUGUAGUCAGCGACGAAGUCGAUUCAAGAA
Molecule: long non-coding RNA, 3548 nt
Organism: Dreissena polymorpha
Lineage: Eukaryota; Metazoa; Mollusca; Bivalvia; Myida; Dreissenidae
Exons: 3
Source: RefSeq, a predicted model, not a curated record